This 532-nucleotide ribosomal RNA is filed under the name uncultured bacterium. RNAcentral describes it as "partial 16S ribosomal RNA". It matches the Rfam family "Bacterial small subunit ribosomal RNA", at positions 355 to 874 of the family's 1533-position model. The record is from RNAcentral.
UGGGGAAUUUUGGACAAUGGGCGAAAGCCUGAUCCAGCAAUGCCGCGUGUGUGAAGAAGGCCUUCGGGUUGUAAAGCACUUUUGUCCGGAAAGAAAUCCUUGGCUCUAAUACAGUCGGGGGAUGACGGUACCGGAAGAAUAAGCACCGGCUAACUACGUGCCAGCAGCCGCGGUAAUACGUAGGGUGCAAGCGUUAAUCGGAAUUACUGGGCGUAAAGCGUGCGCAGGCGGUUUGCUAAGACCGAUGUGAAAUCCCCGGGCUCAACCUGGGAACUGCAUUGGUGACUGGGCAGGCUAGAGUAUGGCAGAGGGGGGUAGAAUUCCACGUGUAGCAGUGAAAUGCGUAGAGAUGUGGAGGAAUACCGAUGGCGAAGGCAGCCCCCUGGGCCAAUACUGACGCUCAUGCACGAAAGCGUGGGGGAGCAAAACAAGGAUUCAGAUACCCUGGUAGUCCACGCCCUAAAACGAUGUCAACUAGUUGUUGGGGAUUCAUUUCCUUAGUAACGUAGCUAACGCGUGAAGUUGACCGCCU